UUUGUUGUAGUCAUGUUGGUUAGGAUACUCAGCUCUCACUCUAGAGACCUGGGUUCAAAUCCCAGUAACGGAA
This is a transfer RNA of Ipomoea nil (Japanese morning glory), 73 nucleotides long. It matches the Rfam family "tRNA". From Rfam's summary of the family: Transfer RNA (tRNA) molecules are approximately 80 nucleotides in length. Their secondary structure includes four short double-helical elements and three loops (D, anti-codon, and T loops). Lineage: Eukaryota; Viridiplantae; Streptophyta; Magnoliopsida; Solanales; Convolvulaceae. The record is from Rfam.